This 74-nucleotide transfer RNA is filed under the name Candidatus Zambryskibacteria bacterium RIFCSPHIGHO2_01_FULL_43_60. RNAcentral's name for it is "tRNA-Ala". It matches the Rfam family "tRNA". From Rfam's summary of the family: Transfer RNA (tRNA) molecules are approximately 80 nucleotides in length. Lineage: Bacteria; Candidatus Zambryskiibacteriota. The record is from RNAcentral. RNAcentral also lists the same sequence under 1 other name.
GGGCCUAUAGUUCAGUGGCAGAACACAGCAUUCGCAUUGCUGAAACGGCGGUCCGAUUCCGCCUAGGUCCACAA